Molecule: long non-coding RNA, 1305 nt
Organism: Corvus hawaiiensis (hawaiian crow)
Lineage: Eukaryota; Metazoa; Chordata; Aves; Passeriformes; Corvidae
Exons: 4
Source: RefSeq, a predicted model, not a curated record
GGGCGGCUCGGGCCGCGGCGCUGGCGGGGGAGCGGGAGCGGCGGCAGCCGCGCCGCUGUGAUGAGUCAUGCGAAGGCAGCCAGACGCGUAGGUUCAUCACAGGAACCCGGAGGAAACCUGAGCGCACAUCGCUUGUUACCUAAUCCCUGCCUCCUUCGGGGCUUCCCUGGAGCUUCCGCCGCCGCCGUCGGCGCCUCCGCGGCUGCCGGAGGGUGCGCGGGGCCGGGGCGGCAGCGGGGGGCGGCCCGGGCUCACCCCGCCGUGAGGGGACGCCGCUGUCCCGCCAAGCCGGGGCCAGGAGCAGCCGCGGAGAGCGGGUUUGACAUCGGAGCGUGUUUGCGUGAGGGGAGCUGGCCAUGAGAAAGGAAGAGGGCAAGAGCUCGGUGCCAGCUCCCCCCUCCUCCCGCACUGCAAUACGUAGGAAGCCUUUAUUCCCAAACGGGAGCGUUUGCUUGCUGACAUCACAUGCGCCACGAACAAAAGAGAUCCUGAUUACAGCCUGAAAUGAAAUGAAGAACAUGGAAGUCAGAGCUAUGCAGCAGUUUGGUUCAAGCCUGAGUCAUGGUAAAAUAUUCCCACUUACUGAGACAGAAACAUAAAAUUAUUGUGCUGGAUUAAAUCCUUUGUCCUUCAGAUCCAGUCUUUCAUCUCUGUUGUUGCCACUACAGGAUAAAUGAGAAGUUCAAAGCAGAGCUUUGAUUGUCCUUGACCAAGGACUUUGCAGCAGGUGAGGGCUAAAGCCCCACUCUGGUGUAGCACUGAAAGCUGCAUUUCUCUUCCAGCAUCCACUGCUUGUGUCCUGCUCUGAGCCUGUGGUGAGCACAGUGCUGCAUCCACCUCCUUAAAAUUCAGGUUUUUAACAUUCCACUUUGGAAUCACUGCUGCUUCUCCUCCUCUGUCCGUGGCCGUUUCCGAGGGUUCAUCUCAGUCCCUUCUGUGCUGUGAGUGACAGCUGGAGGCUGCACAUCUCGGAAGCCAUGGGACUGGAAGAUGGAAGGAAAAGCAUGAGCUAAGGCUUGUAGGGAUAGAAAGCAUGAGUAACCAGUUCCCAGAAGAUCAGAAUGAGAGAUGAUGCUGCCAUUUAUGUUUAUAGACCAGGUUAAGCUCAGCACUGCAUACUUUACAACACAUGUGCCUCAUUUUGUUUUUUAAAGAUAUUUUAUUUUCACCAACUAGGCUAUCACUUUCAUUUUACUGUUUAUCACCCCUAUGGCUAUGAAAAACUGCUUCUCUGUAAAUUAACUUAUGUUGCCUAUUUAAAUAAAUCAAAAGACAAAUCCAUCAGCUCCCACAGAAGCAAGGAGA